RNAcentral lists this unclassified non-coding RNA (243 nucleotides) under plant metagenome. RNAcentral's name for it is "partial contains small subunit ribosomal RNA and internal transcribed spacer 1". The stretch from base 1 to 47 matches the Rfam family "Eukaryotic small subunit ribosomal RNA", at positions 1785 to 1831 of the family's 1831-position model. The record is from RNAcentral.
AAAGUCGUAACAAGGUUUCCGUAGGUGAACCUGCGGAAGGAUCAUUAAAGAGAUAGGGUUCUUUUGAGCCCGACCUCCAACCAUUUGUUAAACAUACUUUGUUGCUUUGGCAGGCCCCGUCCCCCUGCUAACCAGGGGGCCGGCCGGGGGCGGUUCAUUCGCCUCUGGUCAGUGCUUGCCAGUAGCCAAUCUAAAUUCUUUAUAAUCAUGUCGUCUGAAUCUUAAUUAUAAAUUUAAUUAAAA